RNAcentral lists this ribosomal RNA (497 nucleotides) under uncultured bacterium. RNAcentral describes it as "partial 16S ribosomal RNA". It matches the Rfam family "Bacterial small subunit ribosomal RNA", at positions 28 to 507 of the family's 1533-position model. The record is from RNAcentral.
GAUGAACGCUGGCGGCGUGCCUAAUACAUGCAAGUCGAGCGAACAGACGAGGAGCUUGCUACUCUGACGUUAGCGGCGGACGGGUGAGUAACACGUGGAUAACCUACCUAUAAGACUGGGAUAACUUCGGGAAACCGGAGCUAAUACCGGAUAAUAUAUUGAACCGCAUGGUUCAAUAGUGAAAGACGGUUUUGCUGUCACUUAUAGAUGGAUCCGCGCCGCAUUAGCUAGUUGGUAAGGUAACGGCUUACCAAGGCAACGAUGCGUAGCCGACCUGAGAGGGUGAUCGGCCACACUGGAACUGAGACACGGUCCAGACUCCUACGGGAGGCAGCAGUAGGGAAUCUUCCGCAAUGGGCGAAAGCCUGACGGAGCAACGCCGCGUGAGUGAUGAAGGUCUUCGGAUCGUAAAACUCUGUUAUUAGGGAAGAACAAAUGUGUAAGUAACUAUGCACGUCUUGACGGUACCUAAUCAGAAAGCCACGGCUAACUACGUG